Pelobates cultripes (western spadefoot toad) is the source of this 247-nucleotide non-coding RNA. The record is from the annotation of a GenBank genome assembly. NCBI's taxonomy places the organism in Eukaryota, Metazoa, Chordata, Amphibia, Anura, Pelobatidae.
GGAUGAGACACUUAUACUCUAUAAAACCCACCAAAGAUAAGAGAAGAGAGAUAAUGCAUCCUGCAGUGUAUCUACUUAUGUGAAUGCACAACCCAUUGUCACAAUAGAGCUCUUUCCAUUUACAUAUCAUAUUGGAGAUGAUAUACUCUAACAAUCAAUGACUUCAAGUAACAACACAUACCAACCUGAUUAAAAAUGCAUACUAUAGAAAACACACAAUACAAUAAUAAAUGGGUGAAUUAAUACA